Molecule: non-coding RNA, 576 nt
Organism: Pelobates cultripes (western spadefoot toad)
Lineage: Eukaryota; Metazoa; Chordata; Amphibia; Anura; Pelobatidae
Source: the annotation of a GenBank genome assembly
CUGUGGAGACACCUGGAACGAGACAUAAGAUAGAGGAGAGAAUCAAGAGAUAACAUGUGAAAUCAGGAGAUAAAAUCUGAAAUCAGGAGAGAACAUGUGAAAUCAGAAUAUAACAUGUGAAAUCAGAAUAUAACAUGUGAAAUCAGAAUAUAACAUGUGAAAUCAGGAGAUAACAUGUGAAAUCAGGAGCUGAAAUCUGGAGAUUAAAUCUGAAAUCUGGAGAUAACAUGUGAAAUCAAGAGAUUAAAUCUGAAAUCUGGAGAUAACAUGUGAAAUCAGGAGACCGUAUGUGAAUCAUACUAUGUGGAAUCAAGAGAUAGCAUGUGGAAUAACGACAUACCGUUUGUGAUCAGGAGAUAAUAUGUGGAAUAAUGACAUACCGUGUGUGAUCAGAAGAUAUGUGGAAUAAUGACAUACCGUGUGUGAUCAGGAGAUAUGUGGAAUACCGACAUACCGUGUGUGAUCAGGAGAUAAUAUGUGGAAUACCGACAUACCGUGUGUGAUCAGGAGAUAAUAUGUGGAAUACCGACAUACCGUGUGUGAUCAGGAGAUAAUAUGUGGAAUAACGACAUACCG